Molecule: ribosomal RNA, 413 nt
Filed under: uncultured microorganism
Description: bacterial SSU rRNA
Rfam family: Archaeal small subunit ribosomal RNA
Source: RNAcentral
GUGCAGCAGGCGAGAAACCUCCGCAAUGCGGGAAACCGCGACGGGGGACCCCGAGUGCCGUGGCAACGCCACGGCUUUUCCGGAGUGUAAAAAGCUCCGGGAAUAAGGGCUGGGCAAGGCCGGUGGCAGCCGCCGCGGUAAUACCGGCGGCCCGAGUGGUGGCCGCUAUUAUUGGGCCUAAAGCGUCCGUAGCCGGGCCCGUAAGUCCCUGGCGAAAUCCCACGGCUCAACCGUGGGGCUUGCUGGGGAUACUGCGGGUCUUGGGACCGGGAGAGGCGGGGGGUACCCCUGGGGUAGGGGUGAAAUCCUAUAAUCCCAGGGGGACCGCCAGUGGCGAAGGCGCCCCGCUGGAACGGGUCCGACGGUGAGGGACGAAGGCCAGGGGAGCAAACCGGAUUAGAUACCCCGGUAGU